AGACGCGCGAAGUGAGGAUCGCCGGCGGGCCCUUCGGGGCGCCGUCGGAGGAAAGUCCGAGCUCCACAGGGCAGGGUGCCGGGUAACGCCCGGGCGCCCCGGCUCACCGAGCCGGGGUGACGGAAAGUGCCGCAGAGAGCAGACCGCCGAUGGCUCCCCUCGGGGGGCACAGGCAAGGGUGAAAGGGUGCGGUAAGAGCGCACCGGGCCGCCGGAGACGGAGGUCGCAGGGUAAACCCCACCUGGAGCAAGGCCGCGUAGAGGACGAGGAGUCGCCCGCUCCGUUCGAGUCCCGGGUAGGCCGCUCGAGGCCGGCAGCAAUGACGGUCCCAGAUAAAUGAUCCUCCUCCGCUCACGCGGAGACAGAACUCGGCUUAUUCCGCGCGUCUCUUG
This 392-nucleotide RNase P RNA is filed under the name Gemmatimonadota bacterium. RNAcentral describes it as "Gemmatimonadetes bacterium RNase P RNA component class A". It matches the Rfam family "Bacterial RNase P class A". From Rfam's summary of the family: Ribonuclease P (RNase P) is a ubiquitous endoribonuclease, found in archaea, bacteria and eukarya as well as chloroplasts and mitochondria. Its best characterised activity is the generation of mature 5'-ends of tRNAs by cleaving the 5'-leader elements of precursor-tRNAs. The record is from RNAcentral. Lineage: Bacteria; Pseudomonadati; Gemmatimonadota.